AUUGAACGCUGGCGGCAGGCUUAACACAUGCAAGUCGAACGAGUGGCGGACGGGUGAGUAAUGUUUGGGAAACUGCCUUAUGGAGGGGGAUAACUACGGGAAACUGUAGCUAAUACCGCGUACCAUCGGAUGUGCCCAAGUGGGAUUAGUUAGUUGGUGUGGUAAAGGCUCACCAAGCCGACGAUCUCUAGCUGGUCUGAGAGGAUGACCAGCCACACUGGAACUGAUACACGGCCCAGACUCCGACGGGAGGCAGCAGUGGUGAAUAUUGCGCAAUGGGGGCAACCUGACGCAGCCAUGCCGCGUGAAUGAAGAAGGCCUUCGGGUUGUAAAGUUCUUUCGGUGGCGAGGCGUUACCUACAGAAGAAGCACCGGCUAACUCCGUGCCAGCAGCCGCGGUAAUUC
RNAcentral lists this ribosomal RNA (405 nucleotides) under uncultured bacterium. Its description in RNAcentral is "partial 16S ribosomal RNA". It matches the Rfam family "Bacterial small subunit ribosomal RNA", at positions 30 to 526 of the family's 1533-position model. The record is from RNAcentral.